CGCCUGUUUAUCAAAAACAUGCCCUUUUGAUUUAUGUGUAAUAUAAAAGGUUGGACCUGCCCAGUGGUUUAUCUAAAUGGCUGCAGUGAAUAACUGUACAAAGGUAGCGAAAUCAGUUGUCCUUUAAAUGGGGGAAGGUAUGAAAGGUUUGACGGUAAAGAAGCUGUCUCUUAAAAAUAGUGUGAAGUUUCCGUCUAAGUGAAAAGGCUUAGAUUUUUUAAAAAGACGAGAAGACCCUAUUGAGCUUAAUUAUAUUUUUUUUAUUAAGAAAGUUGAAGUUUUAUUGGGGCAAUAGGAAGCUAUAAGUAAUGCUUCUUUUUAAGGUAAGGAUCCUCCAUGGGAGAAGUAAGCAAAAGUUACCAUAGGGAUAACAGCGUUAUCUUUCUUAAGAGUUCUAAUUGAGGGAAAGGUUUGCGACCUCGAUGUUGGAUUAAGAUGUCUUUUUGGUGCAGCAGCUAAAAAAGUAAGACUGUUCGUCUUUUAAAAUUUUACGUGAUCUGAGUUCAGACCG
This 511-nucleotide ribosomal RNA is filed under the name Vesicomya lepta. RNAcentral describes it as "partial 16S ribosomal RNA". It matches the Rfam family "Bacterial large subunit ribosomal RNA", at positions 1797 to 2618 of the family's 2925-position model. The record is from RNAcentral. Lineage: Eukaryota; Metazoa; Mollusca; Bivalvia; Venerida; Vesicomyidae.